CAGCAGCCGCGGUAACACGGAGGGGGCUAGCGUUGUUCGGAAUUACUGGGCGUAAAGCGCACGUAGGCGGCUUUUUAAGUCAGAGGUGAAAGCCCGGGGCUCAACUCCGGAACUGCCUUUGAGACUGGAAGGCUUGAACGUCGGAGAGGUGAGUGGAAUUCCGAGUGUAGAGGUGAAAUUCGUAGAUAUUCGGAAGAACACCAGUGGCGAAGGCGGCUCACUGGACGACUGUUGACGCUGAGGUGCGAAAGCGUGGGGAGCAAACAGGAUUAGAUACCCCUGUAGUCCCUGUCUCUUAUAC
RNAcentral lists this ribosomal RNA (301 nucleotides) under uncultured bacterium. Its description in RNAcentral is "partial 16S ribosomal RNA". It matches the Rfam family "Bacterial small subunit ribosomal RNA", at positions 509 to 807 of the family's 1533-position model. The record is from RNAcentral.